AUUGGUGUGGUGAUGAUGUCUUAUAUUAGGACUAGAGUUUCUGAUCUGGACUUUUAACCAGAAGUUGAAGACUAACCCUUGGCUGUCUGAGCACCAAU
This 98-nucleotide small nucleolar RNA is filed under the name Thalictrum thalictroides. RNAcentral describes it as "Small nucleolar RNA Z157/R69/R10". It matches the Rfam family "Small nucleolar RNA Z157/R69/R10". Rfam says of the family: Z157, R69 and R10 are members of the C/D class of snoRNA which contain the C (UGAUGA) and D (CUGA) box motifs. Most of the members of the box C/D family function in directing site-specific 2'-O-methylation of substrate RNAs. The record is from Rfam by way of RNAcentral. Lineage: Eukaryota; Viridiplantae; Streptophyta; Magnoliopsida; Ranunculales; Ranunculaceae.